Molecule: small nuclear RNA, 167 nt
Organism: Phyllostomus discolor (pale spear-nosed bat)
Lineage: Eukaryota; Metazoa; Chordata; Mammalia; Chiroptera; Phyllostomidae
Product: U1 spliceosomal RNA
Exons: 1
Source: RefSeq, a predicted model, not a curated record
AUACUUACCUGGCUGGGGAGAUACUAUAAUCACAAAGGUGGUUUUUCUCAGAGUGAGGUUUAUCCAUUGCACCCUGGAUGUGCUGACCCCAGCAAUUUCCCCAAAUGUGGGAAAUUCGACUGCAUAAUUUAAAAAAAAAAUUUUAAUCCUCAACAGAGGACAUUUUU